RNAcentral lists this long non-coding RNA (369 nucleotides) under Elaeis guineensis (African oil palm). RNAcentral's name for it is "long non-coding RNA (EGUI_LNC066927)". The record is from RNAcentral. Lineage: Eukaryota; Viridiplantae; Streptophyta; Magnoliopsida; Arecales; Arecaceae.
UAUGGUUGUUGGUGCAAAAAUCUGCCUGCACCAGAGAAGCUGGAGUCGAGGGUGUCGCGGUCGUCACUGGGACCUGCAAAAGAAGUCUAAAUCGGAGGUGGGGUUGCUCUGGCAAGACCCUCCGACGCUCAAGUUAGUUCUCUGCCUCAACAAGAAUGGAGUGCUCAAACAAAAAUUUUAGCAGAGUUUCUAGGUAGAAAUGAGGGCUUAAAGAAUAACGUAUCUGGGGUCCCCAUUUUAUAGACGGAAGGGGCAACAGACUGAUAGCAAUGUCUGUAACCGUCUGGCAGUGGGCCGUCGAGAGUCAGGAGGAGUUUGUUGCGGAGAGUAGUGGAGUGGAAUCGUGGCUAUCAUCGGGACAUGCCACGU